Molecule: ribosomal RNA, 698 nt
Filed under: Vibrio alginolyticus
Lineage: Bacteria; Pseudomonadati; Pseudomonadota; Gammaproteobacteria; Vibrionales; Vibrionaceae
Description: partial 23S ribosomal RNA
Rfam family: Bacterial large subunit ribosomal RNA
Source: RNAcentral
ACAGUGCCUGGUGGGUAGUUUGACUGGGGCGGUCUCCUCCCAAAGCGUAACGGAGGAGCACGAAGGUGGGCUAAUCACGGUUGGACAUCGUGAGGUUAGUGCAAUGGCAUAAGCCCGCUUGACUGCGAGAAUGACAAUUCGAGCAGGUGCGAAAGCAGGUCAUAGUGAUCCGGUGGUUCUGAAUGGAAGGGCCAUCGCUCAACGGAUAAAAGGUACUCCGGGGAUAACAGGCUGAUACCGCCCAAGAGUUCAUAUCGACGGCGGUGUUUGGCACCUCGAUGUCGGCUCAUCACAUCCUGGGGCUGAAGUCGGUCCCAAGGGUAUGGCUGUUCGCCAUUUAAAGUGGUACGCGAGCUGGGUUUAGAACGUCGUGAGACAGUUCGGUCCCUAUCUGCCGUGGGCGUUGGAGAAUUGAAAGGGGCUGCUCCUAGUACGAGAGGACCGGAGUGGACGAACCUCUGGUGUUCGGGUUGUGUCGCCAGACGCAUUGCCCGGUAGCUAAGUUCGGGAUCGAUAACCGCUGAAAGCAUCUAAGCGGGAAGCGAGCCUUGAGAUGAGUUCUCCCUGAUACUUUAAGUAUCCUAAAGGGUUGUCGUAGACUACGACGUUGAUAGGCAGGGUGUGUAAGCGUUGUGAGGCGUUGAGCUAACCUGUACUAAUUGCCCGUGAGGCUUAACCAUACAACACCCAAGGGGUUU